RNAcentral lists this ribosomal RNA (505 nucleotides) under uncultured bacterium. RNAcentral describes it as "partial 16S ribosomal RNA". It matches the Rfam family "Bacterial small subunit ribosomal RNA", at positions 28 to 507 of the family's 1533-position model. The record is from RNAcentral.
GACGAACGCUGGCGGCGUGCCUAAUACAUGCAAGUAGAACGCACAGUUUAUACCGUAGCUUGCUACACCAUAGACUGUGAGUUGCGAGCGGGUGAGUAACGCGUAGGUAACCUGCCUGGUAGCGGGGGAUAACUAUUGGAAACGAUAGCUAAUACCGCAUAAUAUUGAUUAUUGCAUGAUAAUUGAUUGAAAGAUGCUAUUGCAUCACUACCAGAUGGACCUGCGUUGUAUUAGCUAGUAGGUGAGGUAACGGCUCACCUAGGCGACGAUACAUAGCCGACCUGAGAGGGUGAUCGGCCACCCUGGGACUGAGACACGGCCCAGACUCCUACGGGAGGCAGCAGUAGGGAAUCUUCGGCAAUGGACGAAAGUCUGACCGAGCAACGCCGCGUGAGUGAAGAAGGUUUUCGGAUCGUAAAGCUCUGUUGUAAGAGAAGAACGGGUGUGAGAGUGGAAAGUUCACACUGUGACGGUAUCUUACCAGAAAGGGACGGCUAACUACGUG